CCACUUGACGAUGAUGAGCUCAUCUUCUACAUCGUGGCUGGCCUCGACAUGGAGUACCAGCCGCUCAUCUUCGACCUCGACGCAAGCGUCGAACCUGUCACCCUUGACGAACUGUUUUCUCAAAUGAAUAACUUCGAUC
Non-coding RNA from Hordeum vulgare subsp. vulgare (domesticated barley), 139 nucleotides. Lineage: Eukaryota; Viridiplantae; Streptophyta; Magnoliopsida; Poales; Poaceae. The record is from Rfam.